AUAUAUAUCAACCUUUGGUUGGAUGUGGGUUUGCUGGCCUCUUAAGGUCAGCUCCCCUUAAAUGCAUUAGCGGACAAUAUAUUGCCAACUGUUCAUUGGUGUGAUAAUUUAUCUACACUAUUAACCUGACGCAAUGUUCAGCUUCUAACGGUCCAUUGACUUGGACAAAUUUAUUUUAUUA
RNAcentral lists this unclassified non-coding RNA (181 nucleotides) under Calonarius odorifer. RNAcentral describes it as "partial internal transcribed spacer 2". The record is from RNAcentral. Lineage: Eukaryota; Fungi; Basidiomycota; Agaricomycetes; Agaricales; Cortinariaceae.